AUUCCCUGCAAGGCCAAAGGUGAGGGACAGAGCCAGGCAGCUAAAAAAAGUGAAUGCUGAUAGAAAUGAAAAGCUGAACCAAAGAAGGAGGCCAUUUGCAGAAGAAAACUACAACACCGAAAGUUUAAUUUGUUCUGCAGUGGCCUACAUAGAAGGCAAACUGCCACAGCAGAUUAGACGAGGGGUCCACUGGGGCUGCCGUGCCAGCACCGCCGCAGCUAUCUCUAAAAGCGCGAGAGAAAUGAUGCGUGUGACCUGGAGUGACAAACGGGAAGAGCACCUUGUGGUUCCCUGAGAAGCUUCACUGGGGAGAAGAGGAAGUGACUGCAGCUCCAGUUGAAUCUCUCACCCCUCCCAUAACUGAGAUGGACCAAGAGGACUCAAGGGUC
This 389-nucleotide long non-coding RNA is filed under the name Parus major (Great Tit). RNAcentral describes it as "lncRNA (ENSPMJG00000001403.1)". Lineage: Eukaryota; Metazoa; Chordata; Aves; Passeriformes; Paridae. The record is from RNAcentral.